AGAAUAAUUCAUAUUGUAGCAUACCUUGGUUAUUCUGCCUAAAUAAUUCAACAGCAUUCAGUCCAGUAGGGAACUUCUUGCCCAUGAAAAAGACAUGCUCUUUGCCCUAUGAAACAAUGGGACUUCAUAAAGCAGAAUCUUCCUGUAGGUAAAACUGGAUAAAAAACUGGACUGGUUUAGAUUUAAAAGGUUAAACAAGGAUAGGAAGAACAAGAGAAAAGAUUUAAAAAAAAAACAAAAAAGGAGACCACAGGAGCUAGAGGAAGACAGGUACCUGAGGUCAUGGUCAAAAAUAAGUCUCAUUUGAUAUAUUCUGCCAAAUAAUAAGUUGGCAGAAUAUUUCAAAACUUAAAGAGAUUAACAUCCUGAAGGUCUGCCUAUCUCUUCUAUCAUCUUGUCUGUUAUUCCCCUCUUUUCUCUGACAUUUUUUUCUCUUUCUCUUUCCUUCCCCAUCAUAUUCAGCUUGAAGCAUAUCCUACUUUAACUUCUUUUACUUCAUCAAAUACAGUAAAGGUGCAAAUAUGCAUUUUAUUAGUCCUAUUUGUAUGAGGAUAGUUCCCUGAUUUGAGUGUGAUUUCCUCAUGGAAACAACUAUACUGGCAUAAAUCCAUGCAAGGAAGAAUUAGCAUUAGUGAUGUUGGAAUAUGUGGUUUUAAAGAAGCAUGCCAUGCUUUACAUGGAGAGAAUUAUUGUGAGGAAACCUAUUGAUUCAAAUGAUAUUGCUUAUGUGAAUAAGCUGCUAGGUUGGGCAAUCUGUUGUGCAAAAAACACUCUCUUCCUCUUGACUAUAAAGAGAGCACUGACUGUGAGCCAUAGGUUCAUCAUACUCAUGAAUACAAAACACUACUUUUACAAAGAAGUCAUGCACACCGGGUUGGGAAUAUAAAGCAUCUUAUGUAAGCAUCAAUAUCUUAUAUGGAUACUUAAUUUGCAGGGUUUCCAUCCUGUUUAUAUUGGGCAUCUGGUGUUUUGAUUUGUCAGAGAAGAUCAUUCUAGGAAGGAUGUAAAAUCUUCCUACCAUUUGUUCAUAUAAUGUUUGUCCCUCUCAUUUUCAAACCCUAGAAUCAUUAUUUAUAGAUAAAGGAAAUCUGAAUUAUUGCACAAGAAUGAGAGUGUUCUUCAUUUGUUCAUAAUUUAUUCUCAUCCUGCUGCCACUUUUGGCAGUUCAACCAUUAGACACAGUCAGACAAUAAGAGCUCACAGCAUGAUUCCUAUCUGUAGAGUUUUGCUCAGUUUUUGCAAUCUAGGCAGCAAUAUUCUCUUGUUAAAUAGGGGAAAAAUUCUGUGUACCAUGCAAACAUGUUUUUUAGGUCAGCUAUGUGCAUUAUCUACUGUUGAAACAACUAUAAGCCAUAUUUAACCAAUGACAAAAUCUGGCAUUUUAUCUUAAAAUAUUUUAUGCUCACUCAGCUUCAGAACAAUGUUGGAUAUGAGAUAAGAACCAAAACAAAAUCCACUUUUAAAAUAUUAAGUGUUAUACAUACAUAUUUUAUCCUUGUAGUCAUAGUUAUGCUCCCAGAUCCAAAAGAAAAUUAACUGUGUUAACCGACAUGCUGUCUAGAAGCUGACAUUGUUAUCGCUCAGUUAUCGCCCAGUUAUCACUCAGCCAUCAGUCAGCCAGUCCUGGUGUCUGCACAGAGGUAACCCUGCACUAUUGUCCUGUUGAUCAAUCUGCUAGUCCAAUUCCUUUUCUGGAAAAAAAUUUAUAGGAAAAUUUUGACAGGCAGUUUGACAACUCAAGUAAAUCCAGGUUAUUCUUAUUUUACACCUCUAAAAAAGAAUAUUUCAUGGUUUUGAUUUUGGUCCCUGGUCAAUUUUUUGAGGGAUGGUAUGUAGUCUGUAGGCAGCUUUCCUAAUUCCCUUGCUGUGAUAUUAAUCCUCCUUGUUUCCCUUUUUUCAGUCAUUAAAUGAUUCCUGGUACUAUCCACCUUGAUAGGUACAAGGAGAUGCUGGAAUGUUUGAUUCAUCCCAGUGAACUGAGGGAUAGUGAUGCACAACCUUAUUUCAAGCACUGUUUCUUGCAGGCUUUGUUCCAAUGGAAGGAAGUGGACUUAGAAAAUUGAAGAGGAGCAGCAGUGUCAGAGACAUCUAUUAGGCCUGAAGAACAGUGAUGGUAUUUUUUAGAGGAAGUGUGAGAAAUGAGGAAUGAGCAGAAAGCCUGCACCAUCCUGUAAAUUCUUCAAAACAGCGUCCAAGAAAGUGUUUAUUGCAUGACUUUUCUAUUACAAUUAAAUAUAAUGAUGAUGAUGAUAAUGGCAAGGAAGUCCUUAAUUUUAGCACCAUGAGAUAAAAUGCAGAUGACAACUGUUA
Cyanistes caeruleus (blue tit) is the source of this 2310-nucleotide non-coding RNA. The record is from RefSeq and is a predicted model, not a curated record. Lineage: Eukaryota; Metazoa; Chordata; Aves; Passeriformes; Paridae.